This 262-nucleotide ribosomal RNA is filed under the name uncultured bacterium. RNAcentral's name for it is "partial 16S ribosomal RNA". It matches the Rfam family "Bacterial small subunit ribosomal RNA", at positions 793 to 1055 of the family's 1533-position model. The record is from RNAcentral.
GUCCACGCCCUAAACGAUGUCGACUAGUUGUUCGGUGCAGCAAUGCGCUGGGUAACGCAGCUAACGCGUGAAGUCGACCGCCUGGGGAGUACGGCCGCAAGGUUAAACUCAAAGGAAUUGACGGGGACCCGCACAAGCGGUGGAUGAUGUGGAUUAAUUCGAUGCAACGCGAAAACCUUACCUACCCUUGACAUGCCAGGAACCUUGGUGAGAGCCGAGGGUGCCUUCGGGAGCCUGGACACAGGUGCUGCAUGGCUGUCGU